AGAUUAAGCCAUGCAUGUCUAAGUAUAAGCAAUUAUACAGCGAAACUGCGAAUGGCUCAUUAUAUAAGUUAUCGUUUAUUUGAUAGUACCUUACUACUUGGAUAACCGUGGUAAUUCUAGAGCUAAUACAUGCUAAAAAUCCCGACUUCGGAAGGGAUGUAUUUAUUAGAUUAAAAACCAAUGCCCUCUGGGCUCCUUGGUGAUUCAUAAUAACUUUUCGAAUCGCACGGCCUUGCGCCGGCGAUGGUUCAUUCAAAUUUCUUCCCUAUCAACUUUCGAUGUUUGGGUCUUGGCCAAACAUGGUCGCAACGGGUAACGGAGGGUUAGGGCUCGACCCCGGAGAAGGAGCCUGAGAAACGGCUACUACAUCCAAGGAAGGCAGCAGGCGCGCAAAUUACCCAAUCCCGAUUCGGGGAGGUAGUGACAAUAAAUACUGAUACAGGGCUCUUUUGGGUCUUGUAAUUGGAAUGAGUACAAUUUAAAUCUCUUAACGAGGAACAAUUGGAGGGCAAGUCUGGUGCCAGCAGCCGCGGUAAUUCCAGCUCCAAUAGCGUAUAUUAAAGUUGUUGUGGUUAAAAAGCUCGUAGUUGAACCUUGGGCCUGGCUGGCCGGUCCGCCUCACCGCGUGCACUGGUCCGGCCGGGCCUUUCCCUCUGUGGAACCCCAUGCUCUUCACUGAGUGUGGCGGUGAAACAGGACUUUUACUUUGAAAAAAUUAGAGUGCUCCAGGCAGGCCUAUGCUCGAAUACAUUAGCAUGGAAUAAUAAAAUAGGACGCGUGGUUCUAUUUUGUUGGUUUCUAGGACCGCCGUAAUGAUUAAUAGGGACAGUCGGGGGCAUCAGUAUUCAAUUGUCAGAGGUGAAAUUCUUGGAUUUAUUGAAGACUAACUACUGCGAAAGCAUUUGCCAAGGAUGUUUUCAUUAAUCAGGAACGAAAGUUAGGGGAUCGAAGACGAUCAGAUACCGUCGUAGUCUUAACCAUAAACUAUGC
This 990-nucleotide ribosomal RNA is filed under the name Cordyceps militaris. RNAcentral's name for it is "SSU rRNA". It matches the Rfam family "Eukaryotic small subunit ribosomal RNA", at positions 41 to 1042 of the family's 1831-position model. Lineage: Eukaryota; Fungi; Ascomycota; Sordariomycetes; Hypocreales; Cordycipitaceae. The record is from RNAcentral.